CUUGGCACUGGCGGAAUAAUCA
This 22-nucleotide microRNA is filed under the name Haliotis rufescens (red abalone). Its description in RNAcentral is "Hru-Mir-96-P1h_5p (mature (guide))". The record is from RNAcentral. Lineage: Eukaryota; Metazoa; Mollusca; Gastropoda; Lepetellida; Haliotidae. RNAcentral also lists the same sequence under 1 other name.